CUUUCUCCGUCAUGGCCCCGCUCCCCGCCGCCGCCUCGGCCCGCACCCAUCGCCACCACCUCCACCUGCGCACCUCCGCGGCCAAUACCUCUUCUCGCUGUCGCGACCAGACGCCACCACCACCUCCCACUGCCGCGGCCACACGCCACCACUACCGGAUGGGUCAACGCCCCUAUUAGGCCACCUUCCCGCCCCCAAGCACCGCCACGAAGUAGCCCCCGCCCCUAGCCGUCGGUAUGCUUAAGGGCCGCCACUGUUUCCUGCUUCCCCAGCGAGGGACAGAGCUCAUCGCUCCCGGAGGCUGUCCUCCUCCCCGGUGGUGAACCCGGCGUGAGACGGGCCUCAUUGUGAUGCGGAUCUGGAUUUGGGGUCGUCUGCGCCGUCCCCGAUGUACUCGGUGGCCACCAUGCACCGUGGCCACAAGCCGCCGUGCGCCUGCACUCAGUUGGCUCCGUGGCUCCUCUUCCUGCCUAAGCUCGUCCGCCCCGCGACUCCCCUUUGUGCAGACUUUUUUCGACCCAAUCGUUGGUCCGGCGAGUCCCAACUGGCAGCCUAACGCCGACGAGCCCAUCUACUGUUGUGGUGCUGAAGCUGUAAGUGAAAAAUAAUGUCGCUGAAGAUGGUGGCUGUAACAAUAGCAGGAGGAUGCUGCAUGCCAUGCACGUUCAGAGGAAACAACAGUUCAGAAAUUGACAACGGAGGGUAGGAGAGAGGUAUCGGAGUAUUGACGACCAGCAAGCAAAGCAAGAGGAAAACCAAGGGGGCAGCACCAUCCGUGCGCCACGACCACCUAGCGGGGUGGAGCUAGAUCUAGGAAAGCAUUGUCACGAGUGAUCGAGGAACUGGGCUGUAUCACCGGGGGGUUUUCCGGAUCUGCAACUUAGCUUGGGAGAUGCCUGCCAGUACUAUCUCAAUCCCGAAGAAUCCUCCGAUGAGAAGGCAUUUUGGGUGAAUUCCAGGAGGUGCCAUGUUCUUUGUUUCUUGGUCAUCGGCUGGGGCAACUGGCCGAGAUUCAGUGGGCAUCCAAGUCGGCAUUGGAGGGUGUAGGCACCGCACUUUGGCCACACUUGCCUAUACCGACUAUUGAGUCCAAUUUAUGUGAUUAUUUUGUUAGUGUUUUUGUGCCUACUUGGUAGUCUUUGUGGAAUUUCAUCGCGUUCGCGCAGUUCUUUUUGUCGUUUUUCCUCAGGUAAUGCCUUUUGGAUCAAAUAAUACUUUAUGGAAGAAAUCCCUUGAAGUGCAGUCAAAUUUAAUGUGAUAAUCAUCUACCAUAAAAGGAGGGAGCAAGAGGAGCAAAGGAGGAGGCGCCAUGUUGCCCCUACAAUGCAAAAGACGAUGUUCCAUGCGACCGGGACCGCUCGUAUGAAUAGUCCUACGGAGUGCCAACGUCGUUGCCUCGUCCGUUAUUUUUCACCCUGUGGAAUUGGGUCAGAGAUCAUACACAAAGUGGGAUCAAAAACUCGGUCCGGAAGGAGGAACCCUAGCCUCCGGAGCAAUCCGGAGGAAGGAACCGAGAAGGAGGAGGCCGACGCCUCUUCCACCAUCACUGGGACGGCUUCAACAUCAUCACCACUGCCAUCAUCAUGAUCCACAUCCUUUUCAUUUUAACUCAUCAAGAGCCCCAGUGGAUCGUCUCGUGUGUUACAUAUGUAAUCCCUCCAUGAUUCCUACUUCCAUGUGUAUGAUGAUGGUUGCCCCCAUGUGUGAGUAGUCCCUUUAGUUCUCGAGGAUAUGGAUGAACCCUAGUUUGUAAUAGACUUUUUGGUAUUAGGAUUUAAUAUUCUCUUAUCAUGUUUAUGUUAAUAAUCU
Triticum dicoccoides is the source of this 1809-nucleotide long non-coding RNA. RefSeq lists it as uncharacterized. NCBI's taxonomy places the organism in Eukaryota, Viridiplantae, Streptophyta, Magnoliopsida, Poales, Poaceae. The transcript is spliced from 4 exons. The record is from RefSeq and is a predicted model, not a curated record.